UACGAAGGGGGCUAGCGUUGUUCGGAAUUACUGGGCGUAAAGCGCGCGUAGGCGGUGAUCUUUGUCAGAGGUGAAAUCCCGAGGCUCAACUUCGGAAUUGCCUUUGAAACGGGAUCGCUUGAGUCCGAGAGAGGAUGGCGGAAUUCCUAGUGUAGAGGUGAAAUUCGUAGAUAUUAGGAAGAACACCGGUGGCGAAGGCGGCCAUCUGGCUCGGUACUGACGCUCAGGCGCGAAAGCGUGGGGAGCAACAGG
Molecule: ribosomal RNA, 252 nt
Filed under: uncultured bacterium
Lineage: Bacteria
Description: partial 16S ribosomal RNA
Rfam family: Bacterial small subunit ribosomal RNA
Source: RNAcentral